RNAcentral lists this ribosomal RNA (485 nucleotides) under uncultured bacterium. RNAcentral's name for it is "partial 16S ribosomal RNA". It matches the Rfam family "Bacterial small subunit ribosomal RNA", at positions 899 to 1397 of the family's 1533-position model. The record is from RNAcentral.
ACUCAAAUGAAUUGACGGGGACCCGCACAAGCAGUGGAUCAUGUGGUUUAAUUCGAUGCUACGCGAAGAACCUUACCGAGGCUUGACAUCCCUGGAAUCCCGAUGAAAGUCGGGAGUGCCCUCGGGAACCAGGUGACAGGUGCUGCAUGGCCGUCGUCAGCUCGUGUCGUGAGAUGUUGGGUUAAGUCCCGCAACGAGCGCAACCCUUGUCGUGUGUUGUAUUUUUCACGCGAGACCGCCCGGGCCAACCGGGAGGAAGGUGGGGAUGAAGUCAGGUCUGCAUGGCCCUUACGCCUCGGGCUACACACGUGAUACAAUGGCCGGUACAACGCGUUGCCAAAUCGUGAGAUGGAGCUAAUCGCACCAAAACCGGUCCCAGUUCGGAUUGCAGGCUGCAACUCGCCUGCAUGAAGCCGGAAUUGCUAGUAACCGUGGGUCAGCACACCACGGUGAAUACGUUCCCGGGUCUUGCACACACCGCCCGU